Non-coding RNA from Podarcis lilfordi (Lilford's wall lizard), 72 nucleotides. The record is from the annotation of a GenBank genome assembly. NCBI's taxonomy places the organism in Eukaryota, Metazoa, Chordata, Lepidosauria, Squamata, Lacertidae.
CCCUCACAGAGCUCCAAUUCCCAGAGUUCUCUGGAAAAAGGAAACCACUCUGGGAAUUGUAGCUUUGAGAGG